UACGUAGGGUGCAAGCGUUAUCCGGAAUCAUUGGGCGUAAAGCGUUCGUAGGUGGUUUAGAAAGUUUGUAGUUAAAUCCGAUCGCUCAACGAUCGAAUCGCUACAAAAACUCCUAGACUAGAGAAUGACAGAGGCAACUGGAAUUUCGCAUGUAGGGGUAAAAUCCGUUGAUAUGCGAAGGAACACCAAAAGCGAAGGCAGGUUGCUGGGUCAUUUCUGACACUCAAGAACGAAAGCGUGGGGAGCAAACAGG
RNAcentral lists this ribosomal RNA (253 nucleotides) under uncultured bacterium. Its description in RNAcentral is "partial 16S ribosomal RNA". It matches the Rfam family "Bacterial small subunit ribosomal RNA", at positions 524 to 776 of the family's 1533-position model. The record is from RNAcentral.